GCCGGGGAACUGGCUGGACAGGAAGAAGAGGAAGCCCUUGAGGGGCUAGAGGUGCUAGAUGUUUUUCUACGCUUCUCUGGACUGCACCUUUUUCGUGCAGUUGAGCCAGGCCUGGUGC
This 118-nucleotide microRNA precursor is filed under the name Notamacropus eugenii (tammar wallaby). RNAcentral describes it as "miRNA (ENSMEUG00000017651.1)". The stretch from base 21 to 95 matches the Rfam family "mir-671 microRNA precursor family", at positions 1 to 75 of the family's 84-position model. The record is from RNAcentral. Lineage: Eukaryota; Metazoa; Chordata; Mammalia; Diprotodontia; Macropodidae.